Molecule: ribosomal RNA, 371 nt
Filed under: uncultured bacterium
Lineage: Bacteria
Description: bacterial SSU rRNA
Rfam family: Bacterial small subunit ribosomal RNA
Source: RNAcentral
GUAGGUGGCGAGCGUUGUCCGGAUUUACUGGGCGUAAAGAGCGCGCAGGCGGCUGGUCAAGUCCGAUGUGAAAGCUCCCGGCUUAACUGGGAAAUUGCAUCGGAAACUGAUCGGCUGGAAGGUGGGAGAGGGUAGCGGAAUUCCCGGUGUAGUGGUGAAAUGCGUAGAUAUCGGGAGGAACACCAGUGGCGAAAGCGGCUACCUGGCCCAUUCUUGACGCUGAGGCGCGAAAGCUAGGGGAGCAAACGGGAUUAGAUACCCCGGUAGUCCUAGCCGUAAACGAUGAACACUAGGCGUAGUCGGUAUCGACCCCGGCUGUGCCGUAGCCAACGCAUUAAGUGUUCCGCCUGGGGAGUACGGCCGCAAGGCUA